RNAcentral lists this ribosomal RNA (228 nucleotides) under uncultured bacterium. RNAcentral's name for it is "partial 16S ribosomal RNA". It matches the Rfam family "Bacterial small subunit ribosomal RNA", at positions 524 to 750 of the family's 1533-position model. The record is from RNAcentral.
GACAGAGGGUGCAAACGUUGUUCGGAAUUACUGGGCGUAAAGCGCGUGUAGGCUGCCUCGCAAGUCGGAUGUGAAAGCCCUGGGCUCAACCUAGGAAGUGCAUUCGAAACUGCGAGGCUGGAGUCCUGGAGAGGAAAGCGGAAUUCUCGGUGUAGAGGUGAAAUUCGUAGAUAUCGAGAGGAACACCGGUGGCGAAGGCGGCUUUCUGGACAGUGACUGACGCAUGAG